This 258-nucleotide ribosomal RNA is filed under the name uncultured bacterium. RNAcentral's name for it is "partial 16S ribosomal RNA". It matches the Rfam family "Bacterial small subunit ribosomal RNA", at positions 524 to 776 of the family's 1533-position model. The record is from RNAcentral.
UACGUAGGGUGCGAGCGUUAAUCGGAAUUACUGGGCGUAAAGCGUGCGCAGGCGGUUCGUUAAGUCAGCUGUGAAAGCCCCGGGCUUAACCUGGGAAUGGCGGUUGAAACUGGGCGAACUUGAAUCUGGCAGAGGGGGGGUGGAAUUCCACGUGUAGCAGGUGAAAUGCGUAGAGAUGUGGAGGAACACCGAUGGCGAAGGCAGCCCCCCUGGGAUGACACUGACGCCUCAUGCACGAAAGCGUGGGGAGCAAACAGG